GGGAACCCCCGCUGGCUCAAGGUUUUCUAUCCGUCCACUUACCUCUCCCACUGGCGUGCAUGGCGAGUGCGAUGGCAACGGCCAGUGGCCACUGGUGGCUAAAGCUGCCUUGAUGCAUGUGUUAUGGAAGAUGAAACGUGAGGCAGCGGAGAGCUGGGGAUGCUAACGUUGAUUUGCUCUGCACCAUUCCUCCAACGUGGAGAUCAGCAACGAGGGCAGGAACAAGCUUUGUGUACUCAAAAGGGACUUCACUUUCCUGAAUUUCUGAAUGCUUCACUGAAUUUGAUUCAGAUUAUGUGUGGCACUGACCGUAAUGCCCCUCUUUUGGAUUCAGUGUGAGGACACAAGCAGCUGGUGGUUAAGCUGGUUUGUACCAGCUGAGAGUCUGAGCUCCCAUGGUGUCUCACUC
Long non-coding RNA from Panicum virgatum (switchgrass), 409 nucleotides. RefSeq lists it as uncharacterized. The transcript has 3 exons. The record is from RefSeq and is a predicted model, not a curated record. Lineage: Eukaryota; Viridiplantae; Streptophyta; Magnoliopsida; Poales; Poaceae.